AGUCAACAUGCCCAGGGGACGUGGAUAACCUCGGGAAACUGAGGAUAAACCGCGAUAGGUCAUCAUUUCUGGAAUGGGUAAUGACUUAAAUCUAUAUGGCCCCUGGAUUGGACUGCGGCCGAUCAGGCUGUUGGUGAGGUAAUGGCCCACCAAACCUGUAACCGGUACGGGCUCUGAGAGGAGGAGCCCGGAGAUGGGCACUGAGACAAGGGCCCAGGCCCUAUGGGGCGCAGCAGGCGCGAAACCUCUGCAAUAGGCGAAAGCUUGACAGGGUUACUCUGAGUGAUUUCCGUUAAGGAGAUCUUUUGGCACCUCUAAAAAUGGUGCAGAAUAAGGGGUGGGCAAGUCUGGUGUCAGCCGCCGCGGUAAUACCAGCACCCCGAGUGGUCGGGACGUUUAUUGGGCCUAAAGCAUCCGUAGCCGGUUCUACAAGUCUUCCGUUAAAUCCACCUGCUUAACAGAUGGGCUGCGGAAGAUACUAUAGAGCUAGGAGGCGGGAGAGGCAAGCGGUACUCGAUGGGUAGGGGUAAAAUCCGUUGAUCCAUUGAAGACCACCAGUGGCGAAGGCGGCUUGCCAGAACGCGCUCGACGGUGAGGGAUGAAAGCUGGGGGAGCAAACCGGAUUAGAUACCCGGGUAGUCCCAGCUGUAAACGAUGCAGACUCGGUGAUGAGUUGGCUUAUUGCUAACUCAGUGCCGCAGGGAAGCCGUUAAGUUUGCCGCCUGGGGAGUACGGUCGCAAGACUGAAACUUAA
RNAcentral lists this ribosomal RNA (754 nucleotides) under uncultured archaeon. RNAcentral's name for it is "bacterial SSU rRNA". It matches the Rfam family "Archaeal small subunit ribosomal RNA", at positions 102 to 859 of the family's 1478-position model. The record is from RNAcentral.